RNAcentral lists this long non-coding RNA (276 nucleotides) under Hordeum vulgare. RNAcentral describes it as "long non-coding RNA (HVUL_LNC010713)". The record is from RNAcentral. Lineage: Eukaryota; Viridiplantae; Streptophyta; Magnoliopsida; Poales; Poaceae.
AAAGAUUGUCAACUUAGGUCUCUGAACAGAGAUUAUCCCAAGCGGGCAAAGAAGAUGCUGCUUUGAUGGUCGCCCAGGAAUGUCUCUCCAGAACGAGAGACUACGAAGAGACCGCGAGAAGAUAUCGUGCCGCUCCUGUCAAAUCUGACAACCCAUAGUGGGGAGAAUAACUUGCUAGUAGUACUAGAUCGCAAUCAAUCAUGGAAUCAAAGGCAGCAACCCCAUCCAUCACUGCAUACGCUGGGCCUAGCUUACCACUCUCGCGUUCCUUAAUCA